RNAcentral lists this unclassified non-coding RNA (271 nucleotides) under Hevea brasiliensis (rubber tree). The record is from RNAcentral. Lineage: Eukaryota; Viridiplantae; Streptophyta; Magnoliopsida; Malpighiales; Euphorbiaceae.
GAAUUUUAUAUAAUUAUAUUUUGGCUUUUUUUGACAUUUGUUCUCUCUCAUUAGGCACCAGUUUGAUUAAAUUUAAAAAAUGUUCAUGUUUACUUGCUGUGACAUUCACUUUAUUGUAGUUUUAUAAAAAUUGUCAUAUUUUUUGAUGUUUGUUAAUUGAGUUAUCUAUGGUUAUUUUUCAUGGACAUUGCCAAACUAUCUAAUAAUUCUACCAUUUGUUAAAUUAGGUAACACUUUUAUCGUGCUUACUGAAAAAUGUGGGAGUUGCCGC